UGUCGUCAGCUCGUGUUGUGAAAUGUUGGGUUAAGUCCCGCAACGAGCGCAACCCUUAUCCUUUGUUGCCAGCGGUCCGGCCGGGAACUCAAAGGAGACUGCCAGUGAUAAACUGGAGGAAGGUGGGGAUGACGUCAAGUCAUCAUGGCCCUUACGACCAGGGCUACACACGUGCUACAAUGGCGCAUACAAAGAGAAGCGACCUCGCGAGAGCAAGCGGACCUCAUAAAGUGCGUCGUAGUCCGGAUUGGAGUCUGCAACUCGA
Molecule: ribosomal RNA, 265 nt
Filed under: Escherichia coli
Lineage: Bacteria; Pseudomonadati; Pseudomonadota; Gammaproteobacteria; Enterobacterales; Enterobacteriaceae
Also listed under: 1 other name
Description: partial 16S ribosomal RNA
Rfam family: Bacterial small subunit ribosomal RNA
Source: RNAcentral